Molecule: long non-coding RNA, 1319 nt
Filed under: Bemisia tabaci
Lineage: Eukaryota; Metazoa; Arthropoda; Insecta; Hemiptera; Aleyrodidae
Description: lncRNA ENSSWEETPG011372
Source: RNAcentral
GGCUGCCUUUUGUAUGAGAUGGCAUCGUUGCAAUCACCCUUCGCUGGCCAGAAGACUAACCUGUAUGCCCUCUGUCGAAAAAUUGGUAACUGUGACUUCGCCCCUAUACCAUCUGAUUGCUACUCAGAUCAGUUCCAAAACCUCGUUGAGUGUUGCAUGACCCCCCGAAGCAACAGCCAGACCCAGCAUAGGAUACGUCCGGAACGUAGCAGCCGAGAUGAUGGCACUCUGUUCUUACAAAGCGAACAACUGCUUCGUAGGAUCGAACACCAGCCUCCAGAAUGACCAAGCCGAGGGUCUAUGAUUCUUUCAAUCAGUGGCGUGGCGUGAAUGAUCGAUUAUCGAUAUCUCGCCAUUUGAAGCUAUGGUAAAAGAAUCGAUUACUAAGGUUUCGCUGCGAACACCCUAAUAAUCGAUCUUUUUUCAUAGGUUUGAGUGGCGUAUCAAUCGAUAGGUAUAUCGCAAAGCACGCCACGCCACUGUUUUCAAUUGCCAUCCUUGUCUAUGAACGGCAUUGUUUUCAAACUAGAUUGAAGGUUUCCUUCCGCGCUGGAAGAAAAUAUUUUUAACCUGAUUUUCUUAGCUCAUGUACCUAAACCGAAAGACUGAUUGUAAUUUUAAUGUGUGUUCAAAUAGAUGUGUCACUGUUUAAACUUAGAGUAGGUAGUACGUAAGAGUAAUAAUUUUUAUUUAAGUAAAUGUGUGCGUUUGUUCGUGAAAAUUAGAGUAAUGAGUGAGACGAUUUAAUACUUUCAAUUUGCGCUUUUCUCGAAACGAAAAAUCACUUCUCGUAAUUAUAGCUCUGGUAAAGUUGCAUUUUCAGUGUGGAUGGUCUAUAUGCAUUAAUUUGAUUAGAUCAUGCAAAUUAAAUUAAAUUUUAUUAAAAAUACUUCGCGAUGGUGGUCUGUCAACUUAAUCUAAGAAUGCAGUCAAUCGCCUAACUUUGCUGAAUUGAAUUUAAGUAGGUUCUUAUUGAACAUAUUAUUUAGUAAUUUCAAAAUGUAUUUAAUGAUAUUUAUUAAUAUUGUAAAUUGAGUAUUUCGUAAGAACCGUGCAAAUUAAUUUGCUCGUUAUAUCUAUGAGUAAAUUCUCAUCUAGGUAUAUACACUAUGACACUAUGAAUUAACUCAACGUUUAGGUACCAAACUAUUAAAAUUUAUAAAAUGUUAUCUCGUAAGUGAUGCUCAUUUUUUUUUUGUUUUUGUUUACCUUCCUUGUGCCUGACAAUUGAUUUGCCAAGAAAAUUGUUUGAAAAAUCCAGAUGAACGCCCGAUAUCAGGGGUAGAAGAUCAACUAAGUAACCUUCAGAAGCCCGAGAC